This is a non-coding RNA of Drosophila kikkawai, 1088 nucleotides long. Lineage: Eukaryota; Metazoa; Arthropoda; Insecta; Diptera; Drosophilidae. The record is from RefSeq and is a predicted model, not a curated record.
CCCGCUGUUGGCAGCAAAUGAGGCCACAAAGGAAGCGGAUGCCGGAUGAGCUGCAAGUUUUUCCACGAAAGUUUCCAGCCAGUGCCGCCCCACAAGUGCCAACUGAAAAUUUAUGGCCCUGUUUUCAAACUUGGCACAGCAUCCAUCGCCUCGUAUAGAUUUAAUUUUCACCCCGUCUCUUUCUCUGUGCAAAAUCAAUUAACAAGAAGCUGAAGCCAAUGUUCGACGUUUCUUUGAUAAGAAACUGUUAGUUGGUUCUUUACUUUGACUAGAAGAUGUGGUUAGUUGUGGGGCUGCUUCAGUUGGUGGCUUUGGUUGACUGCCAGUCCAAGAUGACCAAACAGGAUUGUGAUAAUUAUAUGAGACACUCAGAGCCACAAGUCACAAAAGUUUUAGAGUGUCUAAUGACACACUAUAACCUAAACACACUCCUUGUACAGCUGCACAAGAAAAUGGAUCAAAUUGAGCUUAAAUUAAAGGAAGCUCUUAAAAAGCAUCAAGACUUUAAUACACCCUAUACAAAAAUCGACAAUGUACUGGAAAUAAAUGAGGAAAAUCAGAAUUGCCAAAGCCAGCAGCAGUUGGUUCAGGCUAUUCGUCGAAAAUUGGAGUGGCAUAGCCUAGUGGAAGGCAUAGAUACCUCUCAUUUUGAAUGGCCACGCCGCAUCAAGACAUCCAAGCGAAAAACCCCAAUCAAUGAUAAGGAUCCAGAGCUAGAGCUCUUUAGGAAGGACCCCAAGGACUCUGCCGUUUUGGACGGCGUUCAGUGUUUCGUGAUAAAUAGCCUGCGAAGCUCUGGUAAUGAAUCAAACAUUUAACCUUUGAUUGUGCCAAUUGAUUGCGGCAAUUAAAGCGACAUAAAAGCGAUGGUGACAGGUGUGAAACGAAAGGCAGCCGAGGCUUCUGCAUUUAAAUUGUAAAUAAAUAUGUGAGCAUUCUCCCUUCGCACACACAAUGGCAACGCAAUCAACAAACUGAAGCGAAAACUUUAUCUCGCAGAGAUGUGAAACAGUAAUCUGAAUUUUUACUGGAAAAAUUUCAGGGGGAAUGAAAUAUAUAAAUUGAAGUGUAAGGAGUCAAAAAUGGAG